UUAUCGCAGGAGCCGUGGAAACGGCGGUCGUGUCGUCUCUCCGUGGGUCCCUCCCGUGUGUGUGUGGGGGGGGGGGGGGAGGAGCCUGGCGCCGGCGCAGAGCAGCAGCGGGAGUCCCCCGGGCCGGCCAGGCCUCCGGCCGGUCACCCCGGACCUGGACGUGCCGGUCGGGGCGGCAGGAGGUCCGUGUGCACGUGCGGGGCUGUGUGCGGUGCCGGGGCCGAUGACCUCUGUGGUCGCGGGCUGGGACAGCCGGUGACGGAGGCCGGCCGCCGCACCGUCGGGGCCUCUUGGAGCCGGUGACGUUGGCGCCGCGGCUGCAGCAGCAGCGGCAGCGGCGGCAGCAGCAGGAGUUUGGCCGACUCCGGUGAAGCCAGUGGGAAGCGCCAGCACCGAGCCCGGAGUUUCAGGUGUGCGACACGGGUUCCGAGCAGCAGCGGGUGCCCGCCACGAGGGCGUCCUCAACCCCCGUCCCCUGCUCCAUCCACCACCCUCCCUGGUAACCGCCGGCGUGGUCCCCACAGAAUUUCCGUGAUCACCGGGGGAAAUGCUCUCGGGGUCUGCCCCGGCCUGGACCCGAGGGCGGCCCUUCUGCGUUAACCGCCCGCGUGCCCCCCGCGCCGGAGUCCCAGCUCCCAGAGGACCGCUCUGGCUCUUGGGCCUCCCGCCUGCUGCGGUCACCCGCGCUCAGCGUGCGCUCCGGGGAAAGCGCGUCCGGUAGGCGGCUGUGGCGGCAGAGGACCUGCCGGUGACGUUCUUGGGACUGUGGUCCCCUGGCUCGUCCAGGCGGUGUCUGGAAUCGGAGCAGAAGGUGAUCUUGGG
This is a long non-coding RNA of Leopardus geoffroyi (Geoffroy's cat), 822 nucleotides long. RefSeq lists it as uncharacterized. The record is from RefSeq and is a predicted model, not a curated record. NCBI's taxonomy places the organism in Eukaryota, Metazoa, Chordata, Mammalia, Carnivora, Felidae. The transcript is spliced from 3 exons.